This 497-nucleotide ribosomal RNA is filed under the name uncultured bacterium. RNAcentral's name for it is "partial 16S ribosomal RNA". It matches the Rfam family "Bacterial small subunit ribosomal RNA", at positions 28 to 507 of the family's 1533-position model. The record is from RNAcentral.
GAUGAACGCUGGCGGCGUGCCUAAUACAUGCAAGUCGAGCGAACGGACGAGAAGCUUGCUUUUCUGAUGUUAGCGGCGGACGGGUGAGUAACACGUGGAUAACCUACCUAUAAGACUGGGAUAACUUCGGGAAACCGGAGCUAAUACCGGAUAAUAUUUUGAACCGCAUGGUUCAAAAGUGAAAGACGGUCUUGCUGUCACUUAUAGAUGGAUCCGCGCUGCAUUAGCUAGUUGGUAAGGUAACGGCUUACCAAGGCAACGAUGCAUAGCCGACCUGAGAGGGAGAUCGGCCACACUGGAACUGAGACACGGUCCAGACUCCUACGGGAGGCAGCAGUAGGGAAUCUUCCGCAAUGGGCGAAAGCCUGACGGAGCAACGCCACGUGAGUGAUGAAGGUCUUCGGAUCGUAAAACUCUGUUAUUAGGGAAGAACAUAUGUGUAAGUAACUGUGCACAUCUUGACGGUACCUAAUCAGAAAGCCACGGCUAACUACGUG